GGGCCCGUGGCUUAGCCUGGUUAGAGCACCCGACUGAUAAUCGGGAGGUCACCGGUUCAAAUCCGGUCGGGCCCACCA
Molecule: transfer RNA, 78 nt
Filed under: Dehalococcoidia bacterium
Lineage: Bacteria; Bacillati; Chloroflexota; Dehalococcoidia
Also listed under: 5 other names
Description: tRNA-Ile
Rfam family: tRNA
About the family: Transfer RNA (tRNA) molecules are approximately 80 nucleotides in length. Their secondary structure includes four short double-helical elements and three loops (D, anti-codon, and T loops).
Source: RNAcentral